UCCCAAAUAGCUCAGUUGGUUAGAGCAUCUGACUGUUAAUCAGAGGGUCACUGGUUCAAGUCCAGUUUUGGGAG
RNAcentral lists this transfer RNA (74 nucleotides) under Bacteroidales bacterium. Its description in RNAcentral is "tRNA-Asn". It matches the Rfam family "tRNA". Rfam says of the family: Transfer RNA (tRNA) molecules are approximately 80 nucleotides in length. RNAcentral also lists the same sequence under 1 other name. The record is from RNAcentral. Lineage: Bacteria; Pseudomonadati; Bacteroidota; Bacteroidia; Bacteroidales.